GAAACGAUAGAGUGAGUCUACUUAUAUACUGAGUUCCGCUAUUCUUGGUAGUCUUUGUUUGACUUUCGACCACCCUCUUCUGUCCUUUACCGCUGUCUCUUCCACAACUCGCUGCUGUUGGACGACCUCCUCUAGGAGGAGGCCGAGCUGGAGGGGUGGACGGAGCAGGCGCGGAGGGAGCGGACGAGGGCGACCGAGACGCGGCAGAGGGCCGGCCGGAAGGAGGCGGCGAAGGCGUCCGAAGUGCGCGGGGCAGAGGAGCCGAAGAUGCAGCAGCCGCUGCCGCAGGGCGCGGUUCUGAAGCACGGCCAGGGGUCGGGAGGACUCGACCGGCGGCAGGAGGCGGCACGGUCGAGACCGGAGCUGCGGAUGAGGCUAAAGAGCAAGUGGUAGCUGCUGACGGCGUUGCCGGCGGAGGAGCAGCUACCGAUGUCUCAGCCGCCGUGAGUCCACCAGUCGGGCGACGACGUAGCCGUCGUGGUGGACCGCGGCCGCGAUCAGGAAGGCGGAGGCGGCGGCCGGUCGGAGCUGCCCCAGAGUGUGCCGAUGUGGAAGGAGGGCCUCCUGCCGCCGCUGCCGCGCAGCAUGGUGGCGCACCUAGACCUCGUGGUGCCAGCCGUCCAGAGCCGCGUCCACAGCUGCGAACCUAGGCCGCGGACCUGCCAGGUCUAGCGGUUUCGCCUCGAGGGCCUCGGCGGCCUGUCUUAGGGGCUGGAUUGGCACGAGGAGGCGCCGUUCGAGAUGUACCACUGGUGCCGGCCUAUGUAGGAGCCCAAUCUGAACCGGCGCCGCUCGAAGAAGCACCAGGUCGAGGGCCUGCCGCAGUGCAUGGUCAUGAAGCCGUCGGACCAGGACAGGGCUCCUAUGCUGCUGGUGGUGGUGCUGCCACUAGUGGAGAUGGAAAAGGUACACCACCUAUCCAAAGUCGACGUCCAGACCGCGGCGGCCGGGACCUGCUGCCGCCGUCUACUGCUCCGGGUCACCCAAGAACACGUGUCGUAGACAGACGCGUUCCGCACGCCGGUAGAACACGUCGUCUGCGAACAUCCAAAGAGCCACCAGCCCCAGCCCCUGUUGCGGCUCAAGCGGAAGAACCUCCUCCUAUCACCGCGGAAGCAGAACGACACCGAUCCCUCGUCCUGUCACCUCUUCCACAUGGUCUCCCUGGGCCUGUUGCUACUUGAGUAGUAGCACAUAGGUCAAUGGUACCAGACCGGCGGACACAAGGGAGGUGUAGUUCGUUCGUCUCGUUUCAAGUCCUUGGACCUUCUCCGUCUCGUUUCGAUUCGGACCGAUUUCUUACCAAGUCACUAAAAAUGUCAUAAAAAAUCACUGACUUUCAAGUGAACACUACUACUAGGAAAAUACAUAGGAACGUAUUUUUGUAGAAGACUUAAUUUUAAGUCUCAACGUGGUCACUCGGACAAGAAAUUAACUGUCACCAAGUCACUAAAAAUGUCAUUAAAAAUCACUGACUUUCAAGUGAACACUACUACUAGGAAAAUACAUAGAAACGUAUUUUUGUAGAAGACUUACUUUUAAGGCUCAACGUGGUCACUCGAACAAGAAAUUAAUUAUCCAAUUCUGCGGUGUUGAAGACGUUGACGUUCGUCCCGUUAAUAAGGGCAUAGAUCGAGUCAGUUCCUUAUGAGUAAUCGUUCCUCAGUAAGACGCGGAGGUGGACAAUUUCUUGUUCGAGCGGCCACCGUUCUAAGCUGGUGUGUAGCAGUUACCUUUCUCUUAAGUCUCUAGCCUCCGACGGCUACGUGGACAGCACCUUAGGACGGUGACUAUAUUAACGAGCCGCUGUCUAGCUAUUACAACCCGUUCGGUGGCAAUCUUCUACUAUAGAGUGACCUCUUCGAUAGCAAUUGAGUAACAAGUUGUCCCGCUCCGAGGUACUAAAAAAAACUCUGUUUCUUUAUAUAACUAAUUCGUCUAAACAAUGUUAGUCUCCGAUCUUGUAGAGAGUC
RNAcentral lists this ribosomal RNA (1973 nucleotides) under Triticum aestivum (bread wheat). Its description in RNAcentral is "partial small subunit ribosomal RNA". The record is from RNAcentral. Lineage: Eukaryota; Viridiplantae; Streptophyta; Magnoliopsida; Poales; Poaceae.